Molecule: ribosomal RNA, 229 nt
Filed under: uncultured bacterium
Lineage: Bacteria
Description: partial 16S ribosomal RNA
Rfam family: Bacterial small subunit ribosomal RNA
Source: RNAcentral
UUGAACGCUGGCGGCAUGCCUUACACAUGCAAGUCGAACGGUAGAGGGGCAACCCUUGAGAGUGGCGAACGGGUGAGUAAUAUAUCGGAACGUGCCCAGUCGUGGGGGAUAACGCAGCGAAAGCUGCGCUAAUACCGCAUACGAUCUAUGGAUGAAAGCGGGGGAUCGCAAAGACCUCGCGCGAUUGGAGCGGCCGAUAUCAGAUUAGGUAGUUGGUGGGGUAAAAGCC